CGCUGAACACAGCUCAGUAGCACGUGGCUAACCUGCCCUUGGGACGGGAACAACCCCGGGAAACUGGGGCUAAUCCCCGAUAGGUGAAGAUUCCUGGAAUGGGUUUUUGCCGAAAAGACGUUUAGGGCAUGCUUCUAAGCGCUGCCCAAGGAUGGGGCCGCGGCCGAUCAGGUUGUUGGUGAGGUAAUGGCUCACCAAGCCUUUAACCGGUUCGGGCCGUGGGAGCGGUAGCCCGGAGAUGGGCACUGAGACAAGGGCCCAGGCCCUACGGGGCGCAGCAGUCGCGAAAACUUCGCAAUAAGCGAAAGCUUGACGGGGCCAUCCCGAGUGCCAUCUGCUGAGGAUGGCUUUUACCCAGUAUAGAUAGCUGGGGGAAUAAGGAGAGGGCAAGUCUGGUGUCAGCCGCCGCGGUAAUACCAGCUCUCCGAGUUGUGGGGACGUUUAUUGAGCCUAAAGCAUCCGUAGCCGGCUGGGCAAGUCCUCUGUUAAAUCCAGCGACAAAUCGUUGGCCUGCGGGGGAUACUGCUCGGCUAGGGGGCGGGAGAGGCCGUCGGUAUUCUUGGGGUAGGGGUGAAAUCCUAUAAUCCCAGGAGGACCACCAGUGGCGAAGGCUGUCGGCUAGUACGCGCCCGACGGUGAGGGAUGAAAGCUGGGGGAGCGAACCGGAUUAGAUACCCGGGUAGUCCCAGCAGUAAACGAUGCAGGCUCGGUGUUAGGGCGAAUACGUGCCGCUCUAGUGCCGCAGGGAAGCUGUUAAGCCUGCCGCUUGGGGUUACCGCCCGGUAGGCUGAAC
This 793-nucleotide ribosomal RNA is filed under the name uncultured soil archaeon. RNAcentral's name for it is "bacterial SSU rRNA". It matches the Rfam family "Archaeal small subunit ribosomal RNA", at positions 77 to 854 of the family's 1478-position model. The record is from RNAcentral.